CCUACGGGCGGCAGCAGUGGGGAAUAUUGGACAAUGGGGGGAACCCUGAUCCAGCCAUGCCGCGGGUGUGAAGAAGGCCCUCGGGUUGUAAAGCACUUUCAGUGAGGAAGAACGCCUGGUGGUUAAUACCCAUCAGGAAAGACAUCACUCACAGAAGAAGCACCGGCUAACUCCGUGCCAGCAGCCGCGGUAAUACGGAGGGUGCGAGCGUUAAUCGGAAUUACUGGGCGUAAAGCGCGCGUAGGUGGCUUGAUAAGCCGGUUGUGAAAGCCCCGGGCUCAACCUGGGAACGGCAUCCGGAACUGUCAAGCUAGAGUGCAGGAGAGGAAGGUAGAAUUCCCGGUGUAGCGGUGAAAUGCGUAGAGAUCGGGAGGAAUACCAGUGGCGAAGGCGGCCUUCUGGACUGACACUGACACUGAGGUGCGAAAGCGUGGGUAGCAAACAGGAUUAGAUACCCUAGUAGUC
This 465-nucleotide ribosomal RNA is filed under the name Vreelandella stevensii. RNAcentral's name for it is "partial 16S ribosomal RNA". It matches the Rfam family "Bacterial small subunit ribosomal RNA", at positions 338 to 795 of the family's 1533-position model. Lineage: Bacteria; Pseudomonadati; Pseudomonadota; Gammaproteobacteria; Oceanospirillales; Halomonadaceae. The record is from RNAcentral.